AUGGAUCUAAGCUGGCAACCGCCCCAGCAUGCCUCCCGGCAGCGGAUCCAGGCCGACAACUACUCCCCUCCUCCCCCGCGACUGAUUGCCUCCACUACCCUCCCUUCCAUCUUAGGGUCUGGAGAGCCCCAGCCGCCACGCUCCCUCUUUCCUCUCCUCUGCGUCAAGAUCGACUGUGAGCUCACUGGUGCCUGCUCUCUGCCGACCUUCCCUUCCCAGCCGCCUCACGACAUGCAGUACGGGGUGGCGAAGCCGUGCAGUUCAUCGUGUCCGUCCCGUCAUGUACCUUCUCGGUGUUGGCCCCCGAUCCCCAUGAGCAUACCCUCCCCUAUUUUCUCUGUGUCACCGACCAUGGCAACCACGAGGCUGGAAGGGGUCUCAUGGACCCGAGAGUGCGAGAGGAGUAACAGCGCUGGCGCUGACGCCUAG
This 429-nucleotide ribosomal RNA is filed under the name Triticum aestivum (bread wheat). Its description in RNAcentral is "partial small subunit ribosomal RNA". Lineage: Eukaryota; Viridiplantae; Streptophyta; Magnoliopsida; Poales; Poaceae. The record is from RNAcentral.